CUUCUACUCCCUCCGUCCGGAAAUAUUUGUCGGAGAAAUGCAUGAAAAUGAAUGUAUCUAAAACUAAACUGCGUCUAGAUACGCCCAUUUCUCCGACAAGUAUUUUGGGACGGAGGGAGUACAAA
Triticum aestivum (bread wheat) is the source of this 125-nucleotide non-coding RNA. The record is from Rfam. Lineage: Eukaryota; Viridiplantae; Streptophyta; Magnoliopsida; Poales; Poaceae.